Molecule: long non-coding RNA, 1450 nt
Filed under: Homo sapiens (human)
Lineage: Eukaryota; Metazoa; Chordata; Mammalia; Primates; Hominidae
Description: HSALNT0174005
Source: RNAcentral
AAAGUCAAGCAACUGCCACAUUUCCAGGAUGGCUGGGCAGGGUUCUGCAACACAGCAGAAACCCCAGGCUUCCCAAGACCCAGGAUCAGAACUGUAUAAUGUCACUUCUGCCUCACUUUGUUGGACAAAGUAUGUCACAAGAUCAUCUCAGUGGUGGUAAAAUUAUUAUUAUUAUUAUUUUAAGGCAGAGUCUCACUUUGUCACCCAGGCUGGAGUGCAGUGGUGUGAUCUCGGCUGCUCACUACAACCUCCGCCUCCCAUGUUAAGCGACUCUCAUGCCUCAACCUUACCCAUGUUAAGCGACUCUCAUGCCUCAACCUUACCAAGUAGCUGGGAUUACAGGUGCAUGCCACCACAGCUGGCUAAAUUUUGUAUUUUUUUUUUCAUACUUUAAGUUCUGGGGUACAUGUGCACAACAAGCAGGUUUGUUACAGAUGUACACAUGUGCCAUGUUGGUGUGCUGCACCCAUUAACUUGUCAUUUACAUUAGGUAUAUCUCCUAAUGCUAUCCCUCCCCCCUCCCCCCACCCCACGACAGGCCCCGGUGUGUGAUGGAUAACAUCCUAAUAUUCUAACAUGGUGAUGUUAAUCACCUCUAUGCAUAUUGUUAAAAUAUGUAUGCAGUUUUACUAAAAUGUUAGAGAGAAUAUGCCUGAAAUUUAUAUAAGGAAUAAAAACAGAUAAAUCAACCUGAAAAUGUCCCUAUGUUUAUUAUCUUGAGUAAUUUCAAAAUGCAUGAAUAAAAUGCAUAGAUGUGCAUUUGCUGAGAGGGAUUCAUUCAUCCAGGUUGAGAAAAUGCCAUACAAUUUAGAGCCAAAGGCCUAGGACAAAUUCCCAGCUCUCCUGCUCACAGGUCUUGAGCAAGUUAACCUUUCUGAACCUGUGUCUCAUUGUUAACAUGAGGGUUUAUUCAAAAAGCAAGUAUUUUUUGAUUGUCUGCUACACGUAGGCACAGGGCUAUGGAAAUAGAUAGGACAUGGCCCUGUCUCACUAGAAGCUUAUGUUUUUUGGUGGAUGGUGAUAACACUGACAUCAGGAUUGCUGACAAGAUGACUAGAAGGGUGAAACUGCUUGCUAAACUAUAAUAUUUCAUGCAAUUAUUAAACACAGUUAAUGUAUAAAGUGAUUCAUAGUUUGCUACUGGGAAGACUUACACAAAUUAAAGACAUUUAGUAAAGAGAUAUCAGAGAAGCUCAACAAGAUUUUAUAAUCCUACUCUUCCCAAUUCCUUCCUUUAAGAUGUAAUACAUUACUGAUUUAUUUAUUAACCACCCCAUCCAUUAUUAACCACCCCUUCUAUUCUGUCCCAAACAGGAAUUUAAGACUUUCUCAGUCCUACUCCAUUAACAACAAUAACCAAUUAUGCCCCAUAACAUAAAAGUUAACAUGGCAUUCAUUCUUCUUAGGCUCAAUUCUCUUACAAUGGAAUUUGGAGGAGGUUACAUAGACA